UCUCCGUUGGUGAACCAGCGGAGGGAUCAUUACAGAGUUUCCAACUCACCCAACCAUUGUUUACAUACUUGACCUUACACUCCUCCGGUAGGCGGUCCCAGGGCGGGACCGAGCCCUAUGGCACCUACCGAAGGGGUACCCAACUGCUCUAUAUAUGAUACUGUCUGAGUUAAAAAGCAAAAUAUCAAAAUUUUCAAUUGUGGAUCUCUUGGUUCUGGCAUCGAUGAAGAACGCAGCGAAAUGCGAUAAGUAAUGUGAAUUGCAGAAUUCAGCGAAUCAUCGAAUCUUUGAACGCACAUUGCGCCCAUUAGCAUUCUAUUGGGCAUGCCUGUUCGAGCGUCAUUUCGACCCUCAGGCCUUCUGGUCUGGUGCUGGGGCUUUGCACUGCAAACCCUGAAAAUUAGUGGCGGGCUUGUUAGCACCCGAGCGUAGUAAAAUUUCUCGCUAUGGGUUGAGAGCAAAGCACCAGCCGUAAACCUCUUUAGACAAGUACAUGGUUGACCUCGGAUCAGGUAGGAAUACCCGCUGAACUUAA
This 535-nucleotide ribosomal RNA is filed under the name uncultured Aquaticola. RNAcentral describes it as "eukaryotic LSU rRNA". The stretch from base 189 to 342 matches the Rfam family "5.8S ribosomal RNA". Lineage: Eukaryota; Fungi; Ascomycota; Sordariomycetes; Annulatascales; Annulatascaceae. The record is from RNAcentral.